This 475-nucleotide ribosomal RNA is filed under the name uncultured bacterium. Its description in RNAcentral is "bacterial SSU rRNA". It matches the Rfam family "Bacterial small subunit ribosomal RNA", at positions 335 to 802 of the family's 1533-position model. The record is from RNAcentral.
ACUCCUACGGGAGGCAGCAGUAGGGAAUCUUCCACAAUGGACGAAAGUACUGAUGGAGCAACGCCGCGUGAGUGAAGAAGGGUUUCGGCUCGUAAAACCUCUGCUGUUAAAGAAGAACAUAUCUGAGAGUAACUGUUCAGGUAUUGACGGUAUUUAACCAGAAAGCCACGGCUAACUACGUGCCAGCAGCCGCGGUAAUACGUAGGUGGCAAGCGUUGUCCGGGAUUUAUUGGGCGUAAAGCGAGCGCAGGCGGUUUUUAAGUCUGAUGUGAAAGCCUUCGGCUCAACCGAAGAAGUGCAUCGGAAACUGGGAAACUUGAGUGCAGAAGAGGACAGUGGAACUCCAUGUGUAGCGGUGAAAUGCGUAGAUAUAUGGAAGAACACCAGUGGCGAAGGCGGCUGUCUGGUCUGUAACUGACGCUGAGGCUCGAAAGUAUGGGUAGCAAACAGGAUUAGAUACCCUGGUAGGAUAGCG